AUGGAAAGUAAUGGGGAGAUCGAGAGUAAGCAUGACUCACCACGGUAUAUCAGAGAUGCAGGUCCUGAAUUAGUUGGACUUGAGGGCGAGGAAUUUCUUCCACCUGAGUGCGAGGAGAUGUACCCCCAAAUUCGUACCACUACCAUAGACCUGCACGUGCGUAACAUCAUGGCAGCAAAUUACAGUUUUCUAAAAUAUUGGCAAUGUAGCAUCAUGGCUGCAAAUUACAUUGCGUACAAGUGGGGUCAGAACAAAAGCUACAGUCAAAAAUGGGGCCCAAAAUGGAAAUACAAUCCAAAAUAG
This 303-nucleotide ribosomal RNA is filed under the name Triticum aestivum (bread wheat). RNAcentral's name for it is "partial small subunit ribosomal RNA". The record is from RNAcentral. Lineage: Eukaryota; Viridiplantae; Streptophyta; Magnoliopsida; Poales; Poaceae.